Molecule: long non-coding RNA, 291 nt
Filed under: Phoenix dactylifera (date palm)
Lineage: Eukaryota; Viridiplantae; Streptophyta; Magnoliopsida; Arecales; Arecaceae
Description: long non-coding RNA (PDAC_LNC022064)
Source: RNAcentral
GCGCCCCCACGAGCAGCCAUGGCCAUUACUAUCCGCCGCUUGUGCCGAUGCUUCUCAGGCGCCCCACCAGCCCUAAUCUCGCCUUAUGGAAGCCGCCGUCCCCAACUUCCUCGUGAAGACCCUCGUUUUCUUCAAACUCCAGAUCGCCCGACCCAUACAGUCCCGUCCCGGCGCCUUCGCUGUCCCCGGCAUGCCUCGGGCCCGGAACAGAUGCUCCAACGUGCCCCACAAGUGCUUGAUAAAAUGACACCAAGAAAAAAGAGGUAGUCAACGGUCUCCAGCCUAGAAUAG